GCAAACUUGGUCAUUUAGAGGAAGUAAAAGUCGUAACAAGGUUUCCGUAGGUGAACCUGCGGAAGGAUCAUUAUUGAGAGAUAUAAUAAUAAUUUGUUGUUGCUGGCUUUUUAAAAAGCAAUUGUGCACGCAAGUUUUUACACAUACACCUUGUGAACUAUUAUGGAACUGGGUUUUCCAUUACUACACACACACACUUUGUUUAUGAUGUGGGCAUAAAUAUAAUUAUUACAACUUUCAACAACGGAUCUCUUGGCUCUUGCAUCGAUGAAGAACGCAGC
RNAcentral lists this unclassified non-coding RNA (281 nucleotides) under uncultured fungus. RNAcentral describes it as "partial contains small subunit ribosomal RNA, internal transcribed spacer 1, and 5.8S ribosomal RNA". The stretch from base 1 to 73 matches the Rfam family "Eukaryotic small subunit ribosomal RNA", at positions 1759 to 1831 of the family's 1831-position model. The record is from RNAcentral. Lineage: Eukaryota; Fungi.